This 426-nucleotide ribosomal RNA is filed under the name uncultured soil bacterium. RNAcentral describes it as "bacterial SSU rRNA". It matches the Rfam family "Bacterial small subunit ribosomal RNA", at positions 966 to 1393 of the family's 1533-position model. The record is from RNAcentral.
GAACCUUACCUGGGCUCAAAAUGUACAGGAACCCGGUGGAAACAUCGGCGUCCCGCAAGGGACCUGUAUAUAGGUGCUGCAUGGCUGUCGUCAGCUCGUGUCGUGAGAUGUUGGGUUAAGUCCCGCAACGAGCGCAACCCUUACUUCCAGUUGCCAUCAUUUAGUUGGGCACUCUGGCAGAACCGCCUCGGAUAACGGGGAGGAAGGUGGGGAUGACGUCAAGUCCUCAUGGCCUUUAUGUCCAGGGCUACACACGUGCUACAAUGGCCGGUACAAACCGUCGCAAACCCGUGAGGGGGAGCUAAUCGGAGAAAGCCGGCCUCAGUUCGGAUUGGAGUCUGCAACUCGACUCCAUGAAGCUGGAAUCGCUAGUAAUCGCGGAUCAGAACGCCGCGGUGAAUACGUUCCCGGGCCUUGUCACACCGA